ACUACGGGAGGCAGCAGUAGGGAAUAUUGCUCAAUGGGGGAAACCCUGAAGCAGCAACGCCGCGUGGAGGAUGAAGGUUUUCGGAUUGUAAACUCCUUUUGUUAGAGAAGAUAAUGACGGUAUCUAACGAAUAAGCACCGGCUAACUCCGUGCCAGCAGCCGCGGUAAUACGGAGGCUGCAAGCGUUACUCGGAAUCACUGGGCGUAAAGAGCGCGUAGGCGGGAUAGCAAGUCAGAUGUGAAAUCCUAUGGCUUAACCAUAGAACUGCAUUGGAAACUGUGAUUCUAGAGUAUGGGAGAGGUAGGUGGAAUUCUGGGUGUAGGGGUAAAAUCCGUAGAGAUCAAGAGGAAUACUCAUUGCGAAGGCAUCUCACGAAUCCGUGAUUGACGCUGAUGCACGAAAGCGUGGGUAUCAAACAGGAUUAGAUACCCGGGUAGUC
Molecule: ribosomal RNA, 440 nt
Filed under: uncultured bacterium
Lineage: Bacteria
Description: partial 16S ribosomal RNA
Rfam family: Bacterial small subunit ribosomal RNA
Source: RNAcentral